This 164-nucleotide unclassified non-coding RNA is filed under the name uncultured Ascomycota. RNAcentral describes it as "sequence contains ITS2". Lineage: Eukaryota; Fungi; Ascomycota. The record is from RNAcentral.
UCAACCAUCAAGCCUAGCUUGUCGUUGGACCCAUUUGCAGCUGUAAUAUGCAGCAGGUCCGAAAGAUAAUGACGGCGUCGUGUUUGACCCUAGAUGCAACGAGCUUUUUUAUAGCACGCAUUGAAGUGGUCGGCCGACCCCGGUCUUUAACCAUCAUUUUCUAA